CAUGCAGUCGACGAUGAACCUCACUUGUGGGGGGAUUAGUGGCGAACGGGUGAGUAACACGUGAGUAACCUGCCCUUAACUCUGGGAUAAGCCUGGGAAACUGGGUCUAAUACCGGAUAUGACUGAUCAUCGCAUGGUGGUUGGUGGAAAGCUUUUUGUGGUUUUGGAUGGACUCGCGGCCUAUCAGCUUGUUGGUGAGGUAAUGGCUUACCAAGGCGACGACGGGUAGCCGGCCUGAGAGGGUGACCGGCCACACUGGGACUGAGACACGGCCCAGACUCCUACGGGAGGCAGCAGUGGGGAAUAUUGCACAAUGGGCGCAAGCCUGAUGCAGCGACGCCGCGUGAGGGAUGACGGCCUUCGGGUUGUAAACCUCUUUCAGUAGGGAAGAAGCGAAAGUGACGGUACCUGCAGAAGAAGCGCCGGCUAACUACGUGCCAGCAGCCGCGGUAAUACGUAGGGCGCAAGCGUUAUCCGGAAUUAUUGGGCGUAAAGAGCUCGUAGGCGGUUUGUCGCGUCUGCCGUGAAAGUCCGGGGCUCAACUCCGGAUCUGCGGUGGGUACGGGCAGACUAGAGUGAUGUAGGGGAGACUGGAAUUCCUGGUGUAGCGGUGAAAUGCGCAGAUAUCAGGAGGAACACCGAUGGCGAAGGCAGGUCUCUGGGCAUUAACUGACGCUGAGGAGCGAAAGCAUGGGGAGCGAACAGGAUUAGAUACCCUGGUAGUCCAUGCCGUAAACGUUGGGCACUAGGUGUGGGGGACAUUCCACGUUUUCCGCGCCGUAGCUAACGCAUUAAGUGCCCCGCCUGGGGAGUACGGCCGCAAGGCUAAA
RNAcentral lists this ribosomal RNA (830 nucleotides) under Pseudarthrobacter siccitolerans. Its description in RNAcentral is "bacterial SSU rRNA". It matches the Rfam family "Bacterial small subunit ribosomal RNA", at positions 54 to 898 of the family's 1533-position model. The record is from RNAcentral. Lineage: Bacteria; Bacillati; Actinomycetota; Actinomycetes; Micrococcales; Micrococcaceae.